This 367-nucleotide ribosomal RNA is filed under the name Fomitopsis pinicola. RNAcentral's name for it is "eukaryotic LSU rRNA". It matches the Rfam family "Eukaryotic large subunit ribosomal RNA", at positions 1 to 361 of the family's 3401-position model. Lineage: Eukaryota; Fungi; Basidiomycota; Agaricomycetes; Polyporales; Fomitopsidaceae. The record is from RNAcentral.
UGACCUCAAAUCAGGUAGGAUUACCCGCUGAACUUAAGCAUAUCAAUAAGCGGAGGAAAAGAAACUAACAAGGAUUCCCCUAGUAACUGCGAGUGAAGCGGGAAAAGCUCAAAUUUAAAAUCUGGCGGUCUUUGGUCGUCCGAGUUGUAGUCUGGAGAAGUGCUUUCCGCGCUGGACCGUGUACAAGUCUCUUGGAACAGAGCGUCAUAGAGGGUGAGAAUCCCGUCUUUGACACGGACUACCAGUGCUUUGUGAUGCGCUCUCAAAGAGUCGAGUUGUUUGGGAAUGCAGCUCAAAAUGGGUGGUGAAUUCCAUCUAAAGCUAAAUAUUGGCGAGAGACCGAUAGCGAACAAGUACCGUGAGGGAA